RNAcentral lists this unclassified non-coding RNA (259 nucleotides) under uncultured Rhizopogon. RNAcentral's name for it is "sequence contains ITS2". The record is from RNAcentral. Lineage: Eukaryota; Fungi; Basidiomycota; Agaricomycetes; Boletales; Rhizopogonaceae.
AUUUCUCAACCCCUCUCGAUUUGAUUCGAGGGGGAGCUUGGAUGGUGGGGGUUUGCCGUAGACUUGGGCCAAGUUCUUCUUGGUCUAGGAUUUGGGCUCUCCUGAAAUACAUUGGCUUGCGGUCGACUUUCGACUUUGCACGACAAGGCUUUCGGCGUGAUAAUGAUCGUCGUGUGCUGAAGUGCAUGAAUGAAGGUUCCGUGCCUCUAAUAUGUCGAUCCCCCUUUACAUUAGUAUAAGGGGGGUCUUCCUCUCUGAC